RNAcentral lists this ribosomal RNA (558 nucleotides) under Salmonella enterica subsp. enterica serovar Albany. RNAcentral describes it as "partial 23S ribosomal RNA". It matches the Rfam family "Bacterial large subunit ribosomal RNA", at positions 711 to 1265 of the family's 2925-position model. Lineage: Bacteria; Pseudomonadati; Pseudomonadota; Gammaproteobacteria; Enterobacterales; Enterobacteriaceae. The record is from RNAcentral.
AGACCCGAAACCCGGUGAUCUAGCCAUGGGCAGGUUGAAGGUUGGGUAACACUAACUGGAGGACCGAACCGACUAAUGUUGAAAAAUUAGCGGAUGACCUGUGGCUGGGGGUGAAAGGCCAAUCAAACCGGGAGAUAGCUGGUUCUCCCCGAAAGCUAUUUAGGUAGCGCCUCGUGAAUUCAUCUCCGGGGGUAGAGCACUGUUUCGGCUAGGGGGCCAUCCCGGCUUACCAACCCGAUGCAAACUGCGAAUACCGGAGAAUGUUAUCACGGGAGACACACGGCGGGUGCUAACGUCCGUCGUGAAGAGGGAAACAACCCAGACCGCCAGCUAAGGUCCCAAAGUCAUGGUUAAGUGGGAAACGAUGUGGGAAGGCCCAGACAGCCAGGAUGUUGGCUUAGAAGCAGCCAUCAUUUAAAGAAAGCGUAAUAGCUCACUGGUCGAGUCGGCCUGCGCGGAAGAUGUAACGGGGCUAAACCAUGCACCGAAGCUGCGGCAGCGACGCUUAUGCGUUGUUGGGUAGGGGAGCGUUCUGUAAGCCUGUGAAGGUGGCCUGUG